This 466-nucleotide ribosomal RNA is filed under the name uncultured bacterium. Its description in RNAcentral is "partial 16S ribosomal RNA". It matches the Rfam family "Bacterial small subunit ribosomal RNA", at positions 28 to 507 of the family's 1533-position model. The record is from RNAcentral.
GACGAACACUGGCGGCGCGCCUAACACAUGCAAGUCGAACGAGCGAGAGAGAGCUUGCUUUCUUGAGCGAGUGGCGAACGGGUGAGUAACGCGUGAGGAACCUGCCUCAAAGAGGGGGACAACAGUUGGAAACGACUGCUAAUACAGCAUCAGCCCACGGUGCCGCAUGGCACAGAGGGAAAAGGAGCAAUCCGCUUUGAGAUGGCCUCGCGUCCGAUUAGCUAGUUGGUGAGGUAACGGCCCACCAAGGCGACGAUCGGUAGCCGGACUGAGAGGUUGAACGGCCACAUUGAGACUGAGACACGGCCCAGACUCCUACGGGAGGCAGCAGUGGGGAAUAUUGCACAAUGGGGGAAACCCUGAUGCAGCGACGCCGCGUGGAGGAAGAAGGUCUUCGGAUUGUAAACUCCUGUUGUUGGGGAAGAUAAUGACGGUACCCAACAAGGAAGUGACGGCUAACUACGUG